RNAcentral lists this ribosomal RNA (2932 nucleotides) under Escherichia coli. Its description in RNAcentral is "bacterial LSU rRNA". It matches the Rfam family "Bacterial large subunit ribosomal RNA". The record is from RNAcentral. Lineage: Bacteria; Pseudomonadati; Pseudomonadota; Gammaproteobacteria; Enterobacterales; Enterobacteriaceae.
GGGUUGUGAGGUUAAGCGACUAAGCGUACACGGUGGAUGCCCUGGCAGUCAGAGGCGAUGAAGGACGUGCUAAUCUGCGAUAAGCGUCGGUAAGGUGAUAUGAACCGUUAUAACCGGCGAUUUCCGAAUGGGGAAACCCAGUGUGUUUCGACACACUAUCAUUAACUGAAUCCAUAGGUUAAUGAGGCGAACCGGGGGAACUGAAACAUCUAAGUACCCCGAGGAAAAGAAAUCAACCGAGAUUCCCCCAGUAGCGGCGAGCGAACGGGGAGCAGCCCAGAGCCUGAAUCAGUGUGUGUGUUAGUGGAAGCGUCUGGAAAGGCGCGCGAUACAGGGUGACAGCCCCGUACACAAAAAUGCACAUGCUGUGAGCUCGAUGAGUAGGGCGGGACACGUGGUAUCCUGUCUGAAUAUGGGGGGACCAUCCUCCAAGGCUAAAUACUCCUGACUGACCGAUAGUGAACCAGUACCGUGAGGGAAAGGCGAAAAGAACCCCGGCGAGGGGAGUGAAAAAGAACCUGAAACCGUGUACGUACAAGCAGUGGGAGCACAGAGCAAUCUGUGUGACUGCGUACCUUUUGUAUAAUGGGUCAGCGACUUAUAUUCUGUAGCAAGGUUAACCGAAUAGGGGAGCCGAAGGGAAACCGAGUCUUAACUGGGCGUUAAGUUGCAGGGUAUAGACCCGAAACCCGGUGAUCUAGCCAUGGGCAGGUUGAAGGUUGGGUAACACUAACUGGAGGACCGAACCGACUAAUGUUGAAAAAUUAGCGGAUGACUUGUGGCUGGGGGUGAAAGGCCAAUCAAACCGGGAGAUAGCUGGUUCUCCCCGAAAGCUAUUUAGGUAGCGCCUCGUGAAUUCAUCUCCGGGGGUAGAGCACUGUUUCGGCAAGGGGGUCAUCCCGACUUACCAACCCGAUGCAAACUGCGAAUACCGGAGAAUGUUAUCACGGGAGACACACGGCGGGUGCUAACGUCCGUCGUGAAGAGGGAAACAACCCAGACCGCCAGCUAAGGUCCCAAAGUCAUGGUUAAGUGGGAAACGAUGUGGGAAGGCCCAGACAGCCAGGAUGUUGGCUUAGAAGCAGCCAUCAUUUAAAGAAAGCGUAAUAGCUCACUGGUCGAGUCGGCCUGCGCGGAAGAUGUAACGGGGCUAAACCAUGCACCGAAGCUGCGGCAGCGACGCUGAUGCGUUGUUGGGUAGGGGAGCGUUCUGUAAGCCUGCGAAGGUGUGCUGUGAGGCAUGCUGGAGGUAUCAGAAGUGCGAAUGCUGACAUAAGUAACGAUAAAGCGGGUGAAAAGCCCGCUCGCCGGAAGACCAAGGGUUCCUGUCCAACGUUAAUCGGGGCAGGGUGAGUCGACCCCUAAGGCGAGGCCGAAAGGCGUAGUCGAUGGGAAACAGGUUAAUAUUCCUGUACUUGGUGUUACUGCGAAGGGGGGACGGAGAAGGCUAUGUUGGCCGGGCGACGGUUGUCCCGGUUUAAGCGUGUAGGCUGGUUUUCCAGGCAAAUCCGGAAAAUCAAGGCUGAGGCGUGAUGACGAGGCACUACGGUGCUGAAGCAACAAAUGCCCUGCUUCCAGGAAAAGCCUCUAAGCAUCAGGUAACAUCAAAUCGUACCCCAAACCGACACAGGUGGUCAGGUAGAGAAUACCAAGGCGCUUGAGAGAACUCGGGUGAAGGAACUAGGCAAAAUGGUGCCGUAACUUCGGGAGAAGGCACGCUGAUAUGUAGGUGAAGUCCCUCGCGGAUGGAGCUGAAAUCAGUCGAAGAUACCAGCUGGCUGCAACUGUUUAUUAAAAACACAGCACUGUGCAAACACGAAAGUGGACGUAUACGGUGUGACGCCUGCCCGGUGCCGGAAGGUUAAUUGAUGGGGUUAGCGCAAGCGAAGCUCUUGAUCGAAGCCCCGGUAAACGGCGGCCGUAACUAUAACGGUCCUAAGGUAGCGAAAUUCCUUGUCGGGUAAGUUCCGACCUGCACGAAUGGCGUAAUGAUGGCCAGGCUGUCUCCACCCGAGACUCAGUGAAAUUGAACUCGCUGUGAAGAUGCAGUGUACCCGCGGCAAGACGGAAAGACCCCGUGAACCUUUACUAUAGCUUGACACUGAACAUUGAGCCUUGAUGUGUAGGAUAGGUGGGAGGCUUUGAAGUGUGGACGCCAGUCUGCAUGGAGCCGACCUUGAAAUACCACCCUUUAAUGUUUGAUGUUCUAACGUUGACCCGUAAUCCGGGUUGCGGACAGUGUCUGGUGGGUAGUUUGACUGGGGCGGUCUCCUCCUAAAGAGUAACGGAGGAGCACGAAGGUUGGCUAAUCCUGGUCGGACAUCAGGAGGUUAGUGCAAUGGCAUAAGCCAGCUUGACUGCGAGCGUGACGGCGCGAGCAGGUGCGAAAGCAGGUCAUAGUGAUCCGGUGGUUCUGAAUGGAAGGGCCAUCGCUCAACGGAUAAAAGGUACUCCGGGGAUAACAGGCUGAUACCGCCCAAGAGUUCAUAUCGACGGCGGUGUUUGGCACCUCGAUGUCGGCUCAUCACAUCCUGGGGCUGAAGUAGGUCCCAAGGGUAUGGCUGUUCGCCAUUUAAAGUGGUACGCGAGCUGGGUUUAGAACGUCGUGAGACAGUUCGGUCCCUAUCUGCCGUGGGCGCUGGAGAACUGAGGGGGGCUGCUCCUAGUACGAGAGGACCGGAGUGGACGCAUCACUGGUGUUCGGGUUGUCAUGCCAAUGGCACUGCCCGGUAGCUAAAUGCGGAAGAGAUAAGUGCUGAAAGCAUCUAAGCACGAAACUUGCCCCGAGAUGAGUUCUCCCUGACUCCUUGAGAGUCCUGAAGGAACGUUGAAGACGACGACGUUGAUAGGCCGGGUGUGUAAGCGCAGCGAUGCGUUGAGCUAACCGGUACUAAUGAACCGUGAGGCUUAACCUUACAACGCCGAAGCUGUU